AGGGAGCGAGCGUUGUCCGGACUUACUGGGUGUAAAGGGUGCGUAGGCGGCUGUGCAAGUCAGAAGUGAAAUCCAUGGGCUUAACCCGUGAACUGCUUUUGAAACUGCACGGCUUGAGUGAAGUAGAGGUAGGCGGAAUUCCCGGUGUAGCGGUGAAAUGCGUAGAGAUCGUGAAGAACACCAGUGGCGAAGGCGGCCUACUGGGCUUUAACUGACGCUGAAGCACGAAAGCGUGGGUAGCAA
This 243-nucleotide ribosomal RNA is filed under the name uncultured bacterium. RNAcentral describes it as "partial 16S ribosomal RNA". It matches the Rfam family "Bacterial small subunit ribosomal RNA", at positions 529 to 771 of the family's 1533-position model. The record is from RNAcentral.